GUCUCUCGCUGCCGCCGGAGUUUCCAGGUCUCGACUUCACUGCUCUGUGUCCUCUGCUCCAGGAGGCCCAGCCUGUGUGGCCCUGUGACCUGCAGGUAUUGGAGAGCCACAGCUAAGAUGCCAGGAACCCCUGGAAGCCUAGAAAUGGGACUGUUGACAUUUAGGGAUGUGGCCAUAGAAUUCUCUCCGGAGGAGUGGCAAUGUCUGGACACUGCACAGCAGAAUUUAUAUAGGAAUGUGAUGUUAGAGAACUACAGAAACCUGGCCUUCCUGGGUAUUGCUCUCUCUAAGCCAGACCUGAUUACUUAUCUGGAGCAAGGAAAAGAGCCCUGGAAUAUGAAGCAACAUGAGAUGGUGGAUGAACCCACAGGUAUAUGUCCUCAUUUUCCUCAAGACUUUUGGCCAGAGCAGAGCAUGGAAGAUUCUUUUCAAAAAGUAUUACUGAGAAAAUAUGAAAAAUGUGGACAUGAGAAUUUACAGUUAAGAAAAGGUUGUAAAAGUGUGGAUGAGUGUAAGGUGCACAAAGAAGGUUAUAAUAAACUUAACCAGUGUCUCACAACUGCCCAGAGCAAAGUAUUUCAAUGUGGGAAAUAUUUGAAAGUCUUCUAUAAAUUUUUAAAUUCAAACAGACAUACGAUAAGACAUACUGGAAAGAAAUGCUUCAAAUGUAAAAAAUGUGUCAAGUCAUUUUGCAUCCGUUUACACAAAACCCAACAUAAAUGCGUUUAUAUUACAGAGAAGUCCUGUAAAUGUAAAGAAUGUGAAAAAACCUUUCAUUGGUCCUCAACCCUUACUAAUCAUAAGGAAAUUCAUACUGAAGAUAAACCCUACAAAUGUGAAGAAUGUGGCAAAGCUUUUAAGCAGCUCUCAACCCUUACUACACAUAAAAUAAUCUGUGCUAAAGAGAAAAUCUACAAGUGUGAAGAAUGUGGCAAAGCAUUUCUAUGGUCCUCAACCCUAACUAGACAUAAGAGGAUACACACUGGAGAGAAACCCUACAAAUGUGAAGAAUGUGGCAAAGCUUUUAGCCAUUCUUCAACCCUUGCUAAACAUAAGAGAAUUCAUACUGGAGAGAAACCCUACAAAUGUGAAGAAUGUGGCAAAGCUUUUAGCCGUUCUUCAACCCUUGCUAAACAUAAGAGAAUUCAUACUGGAGAGAAACCCUACAAAUGUAAAGAAUGUGGCAAAGCUUUUAGCAAUUCCUCAACCCUUGCUAAUCAUAAGAUAACUCAUACUGAAGAGAAACCCUACAAAUGUAAAGAAUGUGACAAAGCUUUUAAGCGACUCUCAACCCUUACUAAACAUAAAAUAAUACAUGCUGGAGAGAAACUCUACAAAUGUGAAGAAUGUGGCAAAGCUUUUAAUCGAUCUUCAAAUCUUACUAUACAUAAGUUUAUUCAUACUGGAGAGAAACCUUACAAGUGUGAAGAAUGUGGCAAAGCAUUUAACUGGUCCUCAAGCCUUACUAAACAUAAAAGAUUUCAUACUAGAGAGAAACCCUUCAAAUGUAAAGAAUGUGGCAAAGCAUUUAUAUGGUCUUCAACCCUAACUAGACAUAAGAGGAUACACACUGGAGAGAAGCCCUACAAAUGUGAAGAAUGUGGCAAAGCUUUUAGGCAAUCCUCAACCCUUACUAAACAUAAGAUAAUUCAUACUGGAGAGAAACCCUACAAAUUUGAAGAAUGUGGCAAAGCUUUUAGACAAUCCUUAACCCUUAAUAAACAUAAGAUAAUUCAUAGUAGAGAGAAACCCUACAAAUGUAAAGAAUGUGGCAAAGCUUUUAAGCAAUUCUCAACCCUUACUACACAUAAAAUAAUUCAUGCUGGAAAGAAACUCUACAAAUGUGAAGAAUGUGGCAAAGCUUUUAAUCAUUCCUCAAGUCUUUCUACACAUAAGAUAAUUCAUACUGGAGAGAAGUCUUACAAGUGUGAAGAAUGUGGCAAAGCAUUUCUAUGGUCCUCAACCCUAAGAAGACAUAAGAGGAUACACACUGGAGAGAAACCCUACAAAUGUGAAGAAUGUGGCAAAGCUUUUAGCCAUUCUUCAGCCCUUGCUAAACAUAAGAGAAUUCAUACUGGAGAGAAACCCUACAAAUGUAAAGAAUGUGGCAAAGCUUUUAGCAAUUCCUCAACCCUUGCUAAUCAUAAGAUAACUCAUACUGAAGAGAAACCCUACAAAUGUAAAGAAUGUGACAAAACUUUUAAGCGACUCUCAACCCUUACUAAACAUAAAAUAAUACAUGCUGGAGAGAAACUCUACAAAUGUGAAGAAUGUGGCAAAGCUUUUAAUCGAUCUUCAAAUCUUACUAUACAUAAGUUUAUUCAUACUGGAGAGAAACCUUACAAGUGUGAAGAAUGUGGCAAAGCAUUUAACUGGUCCUCAAGCCUUACUAAACAUAAAAGAAUUCAUACUAGAGAGAAACCCUUCAAAUGUAAAGAAUGUGGCAAAGCAUUUAUAUGGUCUUCAACCCUAACUAGACAUAAGAGGAUACACACUGGAGAGAAGCCCUACAAAUGUGAAGAAUGUGGCAAAGCUUUUAGCCGUUCCUCAACCCUUACUAAGCAUAAGACAAUUCAUACUGGAGAGAAACCCUACAAAUGUAAAGAAUGUGGCAAAGCUUUUAAGCACUCCUCAGCCCUUGCUAAACAUAAAAUAAUACAUGCUGGAGAGAAACUCUACAAAUGUGAGGAAUGUGGCAAAGCUUUUAAUCAAUCUUCAAAUCUUACGACACAUAAGAUAAUUCAUACUAAAGAGAAACCUUCCAAGAGUGAAGAAUGUGACAAAGCAUUUAUCUGGUCCUCAACCCUUACUGAACAUAAGAGAAUUCAUACCAGAGAGAAAACCUACAAAUGUGAAGAAUGUGGCAAAGCAUUUAGCCAGCCUUCACACCUUACUACACAUAAGAGGAUGCACACUGGAGAGAAACCCUACAAAUGUGAAGAAUGUGGCAAAGCUUUUAGCCAAUCCUCAACCCUUACUACACAUAAGAUAAUUCAUACUGGAGAGAAACCCUACAAAUGUGAAGAAUGUGGCAAAGCUUUUAGGAAAUCUUCAACUCUUACUGAACAUAAGAUAAUUCAUACUGGAGAGAAACCCUACAAAUGUGAAGAAUGUGGCAAAGCAUUUAGCCAAUCCUCAACCCUAACUAGACAUACGAGGAUGCACACUGGAGAGAAACCAUACAAAUGUGAAGAAUGUGGCAAAGCUUUUAAUCGAUCCUCAAAGCUUACUACACAUAAGAUAAUUCAUACUGGAGAGAAACCUUACAAGUGUGAAGAAUGUGGCAAAGCAUUUAUAUCAUCCUCAACCCUAAAUGGACAUAAGAGAAUUCAUACUAGAGAGAAACCCUACAAAUGUGAAGAAUGUGGCAAAGCAUUUAGCCAAUCUUCAACCCUAACUAGACAUAAGAGGUUGCACACCGGAGAGAAACCCUACAAAUGUGGAGAAUGUGGCAAAGCCUUUAAAGAGUCCUCAGCUCUUACUAAACAUAAGAUAAUUCACACUGGAGAGAAACCCUACAAAUGUGAAAAAUGUGGCAAAGCCUUUAACCAGUCUUCAAUCCUUACUAACCAUAAGAAAAUUCAUACUAUCACACCUGUAAUCCCACUACUUUGGGAGGCCGAGGCGGGCGGAUCACGAGGUCAGGAGAUGGAGACCAUCCUGGCUAACACAGUGAAACCCCUUCUCUACUAAAAAAUACAAAAAAUUAGCCGGGCGUGGUGGCGGGCGCCUGUAGUCCCAGCUAUGCGAGAGGCUGAGGCAGGAGAAUGGCGUGAACCCGGGAGGCGGAGCUUGCAGUGAGCCGAGAUCACGCCACUGCACUCAAGCCUGGGCGACAGAGCGAGACUCCGUCUCAAAAAAAAAAAAAAGAAAAUUCAUACUAGAGAGAAACCCUACAAAUAUAAAGAAUGUGGCAAAUCUUUUAACCGGUCUUCAACCUUUACUAAACAUAAGGUAAUUCAUACUGGAGUAAAACUCUACAAAUGUGAAGAAUGUGGCAAAUCCUUUUUCUGGUCCUCAGCCCUAACCAGACAUAAGAAAAUUCAUACUGGACAGCAACCCUACAAACAGGAAAAAUUUGGCAAAGCCUUUAACCAGUUUUCACACCUUACUACAGAUAAGAUAACUCAUAUUGGAGAGAAAUCUUACAAGUGUGAAUAAUGUGGUAAAGUCUAUAAAAAGUCCUGAAUUCUUAACAGACAUAAUAUUAUUCAUACUGGAGAGAAACUCUACAAACCUGAAAGAUGUGCCAACGCUUUUGACAAGUCAAACUUUUCUAAACAUCAAGAAAAUCAUGCUGCUGAGAAAUCCUAGAAAUGUGAAGAAUGUGACAAAGCCUCUAAAUGAUUGUCACACUUGAUCGUAGGUAAGAUAAUUCAUACUGGAGAAAACUACCAGUGUGAACAAUGUGGCCAAGCUUUGAACUAAUGCUCACACCUUAAUGCAUAGGAAAGCAUUUAUGCUUGAGAAAAAGUGAACAAAUAUAGACAAAAAGCCAUUAAUACCUGCUCACAUCGUACUCAAAUUCAGAGCGUUCAUACUAAAUAAGAAGUGUAAUUACUGUCAAACGACUGAUCAGAAAAUAUGUCUUUAAAGUACAGAAGAGUAUUUUGAAAAAGCAUUACAAAUAUGAAGAGGCAUUAUUUAUGACCUUUUCUAUGGAAAGACGGAGUCUUGCUCCAUCGCCAGGCUGGAGUGCAGUGGCGCGAUCUCGUCCCACUGCUCACUGCAACCUCUGCCUCCCCUAUUGAAGUGAUUCUCCUGUCUCAGCCUCCUGAGUAGCUGGGACUACAGGCACACACCACCACGCUCAGCUAAUUUUUGUAUUUUCAGAAGAGACGGGGUUUCAUCAUAUUCACCAGGCUGGUCUUGAUCUCUUGACCUCGUGAUACCCUCACCUCACCCUCCCAAAGUGCUGGGACUACAGGCGUGAGCCACCGCACCCAACCAAAUCUAUACAUUUCAAUGAAGGAUUUAAUUUAUUUAUAUUCAAGGUAAAUAUUAAUAUGUAAGGUUUUGUUACUAUCAUAAUGUUAAUUAUUUUCUUGUCUUAUUUUUUUAUCUGUCUUUGUAGUUUAAUAAAAUUCUGUCAUGUUGUGAUUUGAUUUAUUUCACUUUGUUUUGUUUUGUAAGACCUGUUAGUUUUAUACUUUUAUAUAUUUUAAUAAUGGUGAAUAUCAAUCUCUUGUUUUUAUAUUAGAAUUUUUUUUAACAUCUUUCAUAGGCCCAGUCUAGUGGUAAUUAGUUUCCCCAGCAUUUAUUUGUCAGGGUAAGACUUUAUAUUCUUCAUUUGUGAAGGUUAUUCUAGCUUGAUAUAAAAUUUUUGGCUGGCAGUUUUCUUUUUUUUCAACACUCUAAAAGUGCCAUCCCAUUCUCUUCUGGUCAGUAAAGUUUCUGCUGAGAAGUCUGCUUUUAAUCUAAUGUGGUUUUCUUUAUAAAUUACUAGAUGCUUUUCUUUUGCUUAUUUUAGAAUUACUUCCUUCACUUUGACUUUAGAUAUUCUGAUUAUCAUGUGCCAUUAUGAUGUCUGUUUUGCAAUAUAUUUUGUUUAUAUUUUGUUGUAUUUUGUUUGCUGAGCUUCCUGUGUAUGUAUGUCUAAUUCUAUUGCUAGAGUUGGAAAGUUUUCAUCAAUUGUUUUCUUAAAUAGGUUUUCUAAACUUUUUGAUGUUUUUUCUUCCUCAGAAACACUGAUAAUUUUAAAGUUUAGUUACUUCAUGUAGUUGGAAACAAAGUCUUCAUUCUUUUUUAUUCUUUUCUCCUUAUUUUUGUCUGAGUGUAUUAUUUUAAAAGACCUGUUUAAAGGUUUGAAAAUUAUUUUUAUGUUUCUUCCAGUCUAUUAUUGAAUCUUUGAAUGUAUUUUCUUUUGCCUGCAAUAAAUCUUCAGUUCCAUAAUUUUUGUUUCAGUUUCUAUUAAAAGAUAUCUAUCUCCUUGGAACAUUUCCCAUUUGGACUCUAAAUUUAUUUAUUUAUUUUUGUACUGGUUUUCAGAUUUCUCUUGCCUCUCUUUGAGUUUCUUUAAAAUCUAUAUUUUGAAGUCUUUUUAAAGUAUUUUAAAGCCAUUUCAAUGAAUUUUUUUUUCUUAGAGUACUGGAGAAUUAUUGUGUUCCUUUGAAAGUGUCAUAAGCCUUGCUUUUCUGUGUUUCCUGUGUCUUUAUGUGUCUUUAUAUUGAUUUCUGCACAUCUGGAGAAAUAGUUGUUUCAUUUUAUUUUCGAAUUUACAUUCAUUGGAGGAAGUUUUUUUUUUUUUUUGAAGUUAUUACCAUAAUGUUUAUUGCAUAGGGCCAUGUGGCUUUACUUUUGGGUUUGUGCAGUGGGAAAGACUCUGUAUGAGUUUCUUCAGUAUAAACAAAUAUAUAUAUAUACACACACACAUACACACACACAUAUAUAUACAUGUCUGUGUAUGUGUGUGUUUAUAAAUACAUAUAUAUAUAAAACAAAUGUUUUAUUGGCUCGGGGUCAUCUUUUCUCUUAGGUUGAUUUUGAAUUCUAAGUCUAAGUCUAAGUCUCAGAAAACAAUAAAUUUAUCUUUGUUGUGUUGGUCAUUGAGGGCCAGCACACCUGACAUGAAAGAGUAAGAAGGUAGGGUGGGGUAGAUGGUGAGAAAUUACUUAAUAGUUAUAAUGUACAUUAUUCGAGUGAUGGAUACCAUAAAAGCCCUGACUUCACCACUAUGCAAUCUAUGCAUGUAACUAAAUUAUACUUGCACCCAACACAUUUGUAUAAAUAAAUUAAACACAACCACUAGUUAAAACUUGCUAUCUUGCUUAUUCAUACAUACAAAUACGUUAUAAAUGUUUCCCAUGACAUUAACUAUUAUUGAUACAGGAGUUAAAAGCAGGAGAACGGCAUGAACCUGGGGGGCGGAGCCUGCAGUGGGCGGAGAUCACGCCACUGCACUCCAGCCUGGGCGACAGCGAGAAUCCAUCUCAACAAAAACAAAAAUGAAUAAAUAAAUAAAUAAUUUAGGCAGAUAGUGAGUGAGGGCAAAAACAGUCCUUGGUAAAGUUUUCCUUUUAAUAAAAACCCCCAAAUUAUUUCUUUUUAACAAAGAGCAGCCUGUAAGAUUGAGCUGCAGACAUAGAUAAGCGAGCUGGAAGCUUGCAUGAAUAAAUGCCUGCAGCUCUGCUAAUAGGAAAAGGAGCUACCUGGAAAGGACACAUGUUCAAAAUGGUGGCUCCAUCUUCCCUUUUCUUUGUAAACCACGUGUAGAGUAACGAACAGGCAACAUGGUGCUGGCAAGUGCUCCAUUUGCAUAAUUGAAGAUUAGCUAGCUUCCUCCUAAGCUGUGUAAACAUCCAUACCUGAUCCAGCCAAUCUUUGGCCCCUAUGUAAAUCAGACACUGCCUCCUGAAGGCAGUCUGUAAAAUCCAGUGCACUUCUCUGCAAGCUAAAAGUCCCACUCUUUCUCAGGAGAGAGAGCUAUUCUCCUUUCUCUUUCUUUUGCCUAUUAAACCUCUGCUCCUAAACCAAGUUUUUCUGUGUCCAUGUACUCGAUUUCCUUGGUAUGAGAUGAUGAACCUCAGGCAUUCACCCCAAACAAGUGAUUCCACUUCAUUAUGUUAAAAUUAAUAUAUUAGUUAAAAUUACUAUAUUAAGAAAUGUAGCACAUUUUAAAGGCUGCUGAUGCACAGUGUAAAACCUGCCAUAUACAAAUAUGACAUCAAAUUGUACUUCCGGUAACAGUGUUAGAAAGCUCUUGUUUCCCUACAAUUAUCAUUUAUGAAGAGUUUAAUGGAACAUGUUAUUUUAAAAAGUAUUUUCCGGGGUUCCAAGAUGGCCGAAUAGGAACAGCUCCAGUCUACGGCUCCCAGCAUGAGUGACGCAGAAGACAGGUGAUUUCUGCAUUUCCAACUGAGGUACUGGGUUCAUCUCACUGUGACUUGUUAGACAGUGGGUGCAGCCCAUGGAGUGUGAGCUGAAGCAGGGUAGGGCAUCACCUCACCCAGAAAGCGCAAGGGGUCGGGGAAUUCCCUUUCCUAGGCAAGGGAAGCCGUGACAGAUGGUACUUGGAAAAUUGGGACACUCCCACCCUAAUGCUACACUUUUCCAACGGUCUUAGCAAACGGCACACCAGGAGAUUAUAUCCUGUGCCUGGCACGGAGGGUCCCAUGCCCAUGGAGCCUUGCUCACUGCUAGCACAGCAGUCCGAGAUCAAACUGCAAGGUGGCAGCGAGGUUGGGGGAGGGGCGUCCACCAUCGCUGAGGCUUGACUAGGUAAACAAAGCAGCCGGGAAGUUUGAAUUGGUUGGAGCCCACUGCAGCUCAAGGAGGCCUGCCUGCCUCUGUAGACUGUGCCUCUGGGGGCAGGGCAUAGCUGAAGAAAAGGUAGCAGAAACUUCUGCAGACUUAAACAUCCCUGUCUGACAGCUUUGAAGAGAGUAGUGGUUCUCCCAGCACAGAGUUUGAGAUCUGAGAAUAGACAGACUGCCUCUUCAAGUGGCUCCCUGACCCCCGAGUAGCCUAACUGGGAGACAACUCCCUGUAGGGGCCAACUGACAUCUCAUACAGCCGGGUGCCCCUCUGAGACGAAGCUUCCAGAGGAAGGAUCAGGCAGCAACAUUUGCUGUUCUGCAAUAUCUGUUGCUCUGCAGCCUCUACUGGUACCCAGGCAAACAGAGUCUGGAGUGGACCUCCAGCAAACUCCAACAGACCUGAAGCCUGAGGUUCCUGACUAUAACAAACCUCCACGCUAUGCACAUGUACCCUAGAACUUAAAGAAUAAUAAAUAAAAAGUUUAAAAAAUUCCAGUUAAAAAAAUUCUUUUUUGGUAUGUGAAAAACUGGCGUCUCAUUAUUUUAAUAUGCAUUUUAGUAACUAUUUAGGUAACUUGGUUUUAUAUAUGUUUAGUGUACUACUUUUGAAUUACCUAGUAAGGUCUUCUGCUUAUUUUGCUACUGAAUUAUUUAACUUUUUACUGAUUUGUAUAAGCUUUUGGUAACCCCAUUAUAAUAAUCAUUUGUUCAAAAUUAUUUUACAUAUAUCUCCAUUCAGCUCCUAGUGUUCAUAUUCAAUGUUUUUGAGAGAAAAGAAGUCCGUCCCUUCUAAAAUUGUCUACUCUCUAAGGAGUUUAAAUAAGUACCAAUUAGUAAAUACAAUUAGGGAAGUUUAAACAUUGUCUAAUUGAAUUUGAUUUGUGGAAAAUAAAUGUUUCUCACCUUCUAUUAUUAUUUAACCAUGUAUAGGAAGGCAGCCAAUACAUUCUGGGCUGAAAAGUCUCUUUUUAAAAAGGGAAAAUGUAUUCUAUCAAAAAGGGUACCAAAUUACAAGUUUGCACUGCACGUUGCUGAACACAUUGUCUUUUUUCAAGCUUAAACUUUCUAAAACGUUAGCAGUGUUCCCUCUGAAACACAGAGCUGCUCACAUUACAGCCCUGCUCCAAAACAUUUGAUGGCUCAUAACAGCCUACACAGCUGAGCCCCUCAUCCAUUUUCCUAAGGCCAGUAUCUCUCAUCAUGCCAACUCUACACAACACUUCCAAACUAUAUUCUCUUGUCACACUCUACUUCUUGUCCUACCCUGUCCUCAAAUAAGCCUUAUAUUUUAAUACUUCAAGUCCUGUACUUAAACUACUUUUUUGCCUAAAUUUACAUUUCUUCUUUCCCACACUCUUCCUCUACACAUGGAAAACAUGUACAUUUGAGGGUAUCACCUUUUCUUUGCACUGCAACUUUUCACUUGCCAGUUCUCCACUUGUUCUUGCUGUUUGUGAGUCACUGGUGAAUUUUAGAACUAGAACCAUAUUAUAUCAAUCUUUAUAGUUCCGCAGCCUGGUACCAGGUGUGGGCAUCAAAAAAUGGUUCCCAAUCCAAGCUUGCUGAAAGUGAUAUUCAACAGAUGACAAAAGAAAGGAGCCAGAAUGCUGGUCUGCUAAUCCACAUUGCUUUCCACUAUUGCUUUGCUGAAACUCUCCCAAUGUCAUGAGAAAUAUAACAAUGAUAAUAAUAAUACUAGCAGUAAAUAGAGAAGACAAGUCAGUUAAAAUUGAGCUGGUAGCAUGCAUGACUUCAUUUCUCUAUUUAUUCCUAGUUUCAAAAUAGUCCUUAUCCACAGAUAGGAAGAAACAGGAAACAGACCCUCAAGUGCUUAUCACAAUGCAAGAUUUCCCAAUUUCAUAACUUGUUCAGGCACCCUCAUAAAAGAAUCUAGGCACACUGGUGACCCCAUCUCAAACAUACUCAAAACACAGAAGGUCUUCCUCUCACUGUCCUCCAGUACAUGUGGCUCCUCCUGCUUAAAAAGCAAAACAACAAAGAAAUAAUACCUCCCAGAGGCUAUCACAGUUGAGCUUGGACAAAUCUUUAGAUUAGAUGAGUAGUCAAGCCAAUUCAAUUGUUGCCUUUACUUGGCUCAUAUCACGUUAUGAACUUUUUAGGAUCACCCCAAUGCAAAUUCUGAGGCAAAACCUUGAGUUUCUAUAAUAUGUAAAGUAACAAUAACCUAUUAUAACAAACCAAUAGACCUGUUCUCAAGGCGUUGGGCCUACCCAAAGCAAAACUAAAUUUCCCAAACACUUAUGAGUGUACAGUUUGAAAUCUCUUCAAAAGGAGGUUUCAUAUGGGUCCUUGAAUAGGGCUCAGCACUUCCAGUGAGGUUAAAAGUGGGUGUCCACAAAAAAGGUUUCAAAAGAUAAGAGAGUCCCCCAUGAUCCACCACACAGAGGACCAGCAGAAUCGCAGAGUCCAUGCCCACCCUUUUUCACUUCUGGAAUAUUUCCCACCAUGUGAAAGACCACCUCUUUUUCACACAUUAUCCUUUGCAAUGAGAACAUGGUAAAAAUUUGAUCCUUGACAGGCUUUGUUCAGGGUUUCACUCUUCUUUCCCACUGGGUCUCAGCCUGCUAGUAUUCUGCUUUAGUGUCUUGUUGAACCUCCCCUCUUUAAGGGCACACAAAUCCAAGUCAGUCAGUUCAUGUAGUAACACGACCUAUGCAAGCCCCUCAGUCCACAGAAUACCAAUCUCCAUUCCUGAUCAUCACAGAAGGGAAGGUCCCACUUAUGUCGUCAAAUAUUAGGUAAAAUGAGGUGUUGACUAGGUAAGCUGUGAUUUAUUUCUGGAAAUCAGGACCCUGUCCUGGCACACUUAUACUUUUUCCUUGGGGUGCCCAUCUUUUCGCUUGAUGUGCCUAACAGGGAGAACUCUGCACACAGGAGAUUUUCAGUUAGUAUUUGUUUGGUGAACGAAUCGUGUCUCUAUGGUAGGUAGUCCGGCAGGGGUCAGAAGCACAGCCCUGGAGACAAACUUAACAGUUUGAGUUCUAAUAGCUGGCUGCCUCCCUGGGUCUCUGUUUUCUCACGUGAAUCCUGAGGAUAAUAAUUACAUCUACAUCCCUCUGUCAUGUAAUGAAUGAAAAAGAUGAUGUGUUAAAAAAAAAAUUAGGAUGCUGGUAGCUAGUGGUCAGUAAUUGUUAGAUCUUAUGACUUCUGCUCUUACUGCCAUCAUGGUGAGUGUGUUUCUAUGUAAAAAAGCUAACAACCAACAAAGGGUGAAAAUUAAAGUUCAACUUUUGAUUAUUGACUUACAGACUGGAUUCCUAUCGAUUAAUAAUAGGUCUAGCACAGGUAGAAGAGAAACAGAAAGAUUUAACUUCUGGUUUAUAUGAUUUAAUGCAAAUACAAACAAACCUGGCUAAGAAAUGGUUUUCACCAAAGUUUGUCUGCAACUUGAAUAUUGUAGGUUAAACUUAUUUAAAAGUACUCUAGACAGAUUUGUUUGUAAUAGAAGCAUGUCAUAGUUUCUGGUUAGGACUGGAUUUCUGUUUAUUUAAUUUUCUGAAGAGACACCAGAGACAGCCCUAGCUACUAUCAGACUUCUUAGAGACAAGCUGGGCAAAUGAGCCCUUACAAAACUCCAUUUACUGUAAAGAUAAUAAUGAAAUAAAUAAUAAUCUCUAAACAUAAGAAUUUGACCAGUGUUAACCACUCCACUUCUCCAAUACACUGAUACUUCUCCCUUUCUCUUAGCAUAACACAAAACAAACACAUGACCACACACUAUCCACUCUCCAGUGCAGAACAGAGUAACAAAGGCGCACAGCAAGCUUCAGAACACACAGACCACCAUGUUCACCACAUCUACAUCUAGAGCUGCUUAAAAAAAGCCAAAUCCAUGAGAAACGGAGAAGAUGAGUGACUACCCUGUUUUCAGCACUUACUGUCACAAGAAGACCAAACAUACACACACACUCUCAUUCUGAGGCACAGCAUCCGCUUUCCUGAAGAAAGAGUAAUUUUACAGCAUAUAUCCUGAUCUCACAUUCUUAGCAACAUGACACUGGCUUUGGGCAUGCAAAGAAUAGGCAUAUUACAGACAACCCUAAGACACAUCGCAUGGCCUGUAUUACCAGAUAUAAUUUUUAAUUUCUCUGAAGUAAACUCAAAUUACUUCUCUGAAGUAAACUCAAAUUUCAAACUUGUAUUUCUUUAUUAACUUAAUUAAUUUCCUCAGGGACUUCACAGAAAAUAUAUUCAACUUUCAUUCACUUAGUCUUACCACAAUAGAAGGUCUAACAUAUACAGAAGACAGCCAUAUGUAAGACAUGCCCAUACCCCAAAGCAUAGAAAAUGUAACACACCAGGGCCUUGAGGAAGCAGCACUAUAACAGUGCAAAUACACAAAUAUUUAGGAAAACUUACAUCACCCAACAGACAGCAUGUAUGGUCACCAUUAUCCAGCACUCUCCAAAAUAAGUAGCUAUGAGUGGCUUAUCUAAAAGUUGCCUUAUAUAUACUUGUCACCACAAAUUGUUUCUGAACAUACUAUUGAUUCCAAUUUUGGAUAUUCACAACAUGGUAAUUAUCUGGUAAGAUAUAUUUAUGACUAACUUGUAAUUAGACUUCUAAAUGCAUGCAUACGCUUGGGUCACAGUGAGGCAAAAACUCUGAGUUAUUUGUAGAGUACCUUAAGAUUUAACUUUUCAAAAACCAUAUUUAAGCUUAGCUUUAGAAGUAUUCUUCCCAGCAUCCCUUCACCAAGCUAUUUCAAUUUUUUAAAGUGAGGAGUAGGGAGGGCUUUUUAAAGUAUUAUUCCUUUAUAUUCAGUUUCUCUUAUCCCAUAUAGAAAUGGAAUAAAGCAUGGUGUCCAUCCUAAUGAUAUUUAUGGUGUGGUGAUGCAGAAUUAUCCAUGGGCUCAAGCAAGAGAUGAAAAAUCAUAUUCUCCCCAAAAUGGGAAAAUCAGUGCUACCAGGGGCCCAAAGGGAUGUUCAGGUUACAUCUGUCAGGAUUAAUACCAUAACAGAGGACCAUCUUUGGAGCACAGUGGGGCUCACCUCCGAUUCUGGUGAGUCAUGUGGAUGACAUCAGAGACAAGCAUUACCCAAAAUGAGCAUCCCAAUAAGACUUUCAUGUGAGAUGGUAUUAGAAGACUUUCUUUCUUUUUUUUUUUUUCUUUUGAGACGAAGUCUGGCUCUGCUGCCAAGGCUGGAGUGCAGUGGCACAAUCUCGGCUCACUGCAACCUCCACCUCCCAGGUUCCAGUGAUUCUCCCACCUCGGCCUCCCGAGUAGCUGGGAUUACAGGCGCCCGCCCCAACACCCGGCUGAUUUUUAUAUAUUUAGUAGAGGCGAGCUUUCACCAUGUUGACAAAGCUGGUCUCGAACUCCUGACAUCAGGUGAUCCGCCUCAGCCUCCAGAAGUGCUGGGAUUACAGGCAUGAGCCACCAUGCCUGGCCGCGAGUCCCAGUAAAACUUUUAUGUGAGAUGGUCUUAGAAGAUGGUGGCCUAAUUCACACGGAAGAGGAUGGCUGUGCAGCCAAGUGAGACAGAUAUUUUUUCUCAGGAGCAGAAAUCUUAAGGUAGAAGAUGGUCACUCGCUGAGUAGUUGAGGCAUGCCUUGAUGGAACUCUCUGGGGGUCAGAUUGCAUGCUGUCUCCCUGAGUUGCAUAAAGCACAGGACAGCCUGCCUGCACUCCAGCUUCUAGCAUGUACCAACUCAGCAGACAACAUCACUAUUUUGUUUGCCAUUAAAAUACACAGUACUUUGUUUGCCAUUAAAAAAUAUAGUACAAUCUCAAGGACUGCUUAGGGGUAGGUAGAAAGUCUGUCAUCACCAGAAGUAUUUAAAUGCUGGCUAGACAAAUACUCUGUGGAAAUAAGUUUCACUCUUUGUGAAAGGGGUAAAAUGAAUCAUUUUCUUUGGCACUGACAGAGCUAGUGAAGAUCUUAGCAUCCAGUAGAUAAACAGCAACUUCCGUUUACUACAUAAACUUUAUUUUCACAGAUUACUGCUGAAGCAAAAUAUUGAUACAUCUCUAAGACAUUAAGCAUAUCACAAGACCACUUAUGUUCUUCAUGGGCUUUCAAUUAAGAAAUGACUUGAAAAAUCAGGCCUUGAAAGGAGUUCUGAUGCUCCUAAUUAGCAUCAGAACUGCUCUGAUGGGCUUAAGCCAUCCUGAGAGUCCUAGCUUGCUUCCUACCCGAAGUCUCUUCUCAUGAAUCCUAUGCUUCCAAGUCAAACAGAUAAAGCAUCACUAAAUCAAAUACAAACUUCAACACUCUUAACAUUUAGGUGUACAUCUCAUCUGAAAAUCAUUCAAAAGCUCAGGUCAUCUACAAGAAAUCUUUUCUUUGCAUUUUAGUAUCAAAAAAUUGAAAGAAGGAAAAGAAUAGGAGAAAGCCAUUUAUUUUCAUAGAAUGUAAUUUAUUUUCAAGAAUGUAACAUUGGUUUAUCAGUUACAUAAGUACAUUUAAUGCGUCAUCCAUGCCAGGUACAUAAUUUUUAACCAACUAAAACACAUUACAAGUGGAGAAAUAGCUAAAAACAUGGAAAACAUAUACAUAACUCUUUAAAGGGUAGGGAACAUGCCCUGUUCAUAUACAUUGCUUAAUCCAGCAUUCCAGUCUCAAUGAGGCACCACCAUCCACCCAGCUAUAAAAUCCAAGAUCAGGAAGUUAUCUAUCCCUUCCCCACACCAUCCAAUCAGCAAGCCUCUCUUACCUCUUAAACCUUUAUCAAAUCCAUUUGAGCUCCCAUCUUUACUGUCACGAUGCUGCAGGCCAUCACUGCUUUUCAAAGUUUUCAUAAACUAGCCUUCUAACUGAUCUUCCAAACAGAAGGCCAAUCAUUAUUUCCUUCUACCUGGUCUAUUUACUACUUGGGUAAAAAUAGUCCUUAGCAUGCAAAUUUCAUCAUACUACUUUUUGGCCCAACAGUUUUCAAAGCUUUCCAGAGUUCUUACAAUCUGCUCUAGCCCCUAUCUACUUCAUCAUUCCUGUCAUUCACCUCAUUCAGUGUCUUUUCUUCUUCCAGACACUGUACUUCCCCCAUUUCCCUGACACAUCCACCUUUUCAACCUCAGGGCUUUUGUACCAGCUGUUCUCUGAAGCAUUCUUUUUCCUUCUAUCACACAUCCUUCAGAUAUUAGCUCAAAUGUUACUUCCACAGGAUGCCUUCCUUGACCUGCAUCCUGGCAUCCUCCAUUCCUCUCCCAUACACAAAGGCCAAACUUUACUUCAUAGCUUCUUGUCAUACUUAACUUUGAGCAGUUAACACUGAUAGAAGUGACCUGUUCAUGGCUAGAUGAGUCUCUCUCAUUGUGAUCUAUCUUUAAUGAGAUUAGCAACUGUAUGUCUUUGCCAUACCGGUAGGCUUGGUGGUAAAGACAGAACCUUCACAAGCAGAUAUUUGGAUAUUUAUGGACUAAAUACAGAUCUGUAAAAGUAAAAAAAAAAAUGGGAAUGGUAAAUUUGGUAGUAAAAAACUGUCUUCUAAAAGGAGGCUAAGUCCGAUAGAAAAAAAUUGUACUUAGGAAAAUUAAGUUGUGAAACCUUAAGCUUUUGAACACAAAAAUCGUUCUUUGAAAACUUAAUUUCAUAAUUUAAACACAAAUCAAAUUCAGAGAAACACAAGUUAAGACUCCUUUAAGUUACUCUUGGUUUAAAACUUUGACGUAGAAUAUUUUAACCAAAUACAUAUAGAUUUAACCAACCAAAUCACAGAAAACCUGUUCGGGUUGUUAAUUAAACCAUUAUAAACCACUUAACAAACAAUUAAAACUCUAAAGUAAAAGAUAAAAUGGCUUAAAAAAAUCUAUUUUCUGUAUCACAGAGGAAAAUACACAAGCCUCCUCAGAAAUGAAACUAAGUUAGAAUCUUAUGUCUAAAUGUAUCUGCCAGGUAUGAGUCUAAAUACUAGUUAGCAUGUAAGCACUUAUUAAAAGACAUUUAAAGUUAGUAACGUAUCUUUAAUCAAUCAGGAUUUCAUCUUGUAUAAAGAUACUAAGGAUACUUCACCCAUAAUGCAAACUUUUUCUUUGUUAAAAAUUUAUUGUUUGACAAAAAAAACCCAUUCAAAUGUUUCACCUCGUGUUUCAGAACACCUACCUUAUCUUCUGGGUAUCCCUUUUAUUUCUGAAGAUACAUGUACCUCUUUUAAAAGAAAGUUAAAUUUUUGAUUUUUAGUAGUUAGAACAAUGCUUUGUUGUUUUUAACAAUAAAGUAUCAGGGUAAAGUAUGUUCUCCUAAAACAGUACACAUGAUUCUUUUUAUAAAUAUGAUAUAUAAUCAAUUAUUAUCAAGUAUGUACAUUGCACACACAUCAAGCAAGAUUUAUACCCUGUAGGUUUCUGGUAUUGCAUUCAAUUUUUAAAACCAAGAAUUAUGGAAUAAAGAGAAUUUAUGUACAAAGCAACACUCCUAUUAACUCAUGCCACUAGUGAAACAAAACUCUAAAUAAGUAGAGAAAACGGGUUCACACAUUGGAGCUCUGAAAUGAUCUGGGUCCUUUAUCUGUGCAUUUAUUUUUCCUAUUGAAUUUGAAGUUCAAACCAAAAUCCAUUAAAAAUGUUUAGAAUUAUUAAAGGCCACAGUGUGACAGCUUUUAGUGCAAGCAGGCAUUAGCAAGCAUUUUCUUUUCUCUUUAAGCUGAGCCAGCUUUUGUUUUAGAAUUUCUGUAAUUCAACAGUAUUUCCCACCAAAGCACCAAAAUCUUUUCCACCUUGCAGCAAACUACUGCAUGACAGAUGUGCCAAAGUUGUUAGUUUAUACCCACUUCCUUUGCUGAAUGUGUAGUAAUAGUUAGGCCUUAGCUUCCAAUUUACAUGAUGGUAUUCUCCAAAAUCUUCAAAAAUUUCAUUUUUAUAUCGGAAAUCAGCAUGCAAGUCCAGGCAUGGUGUCUUAUGCCUGUAAUCCCAGCAUUUUGCCAGGCCAAGGCAGGCGGCUCACCUGAGGUCAGGAGUUCAAAACCAGCCUGACCAAUGUGGUGAAACCUGUCUCUACUGAAAAUACAAAAAUUAGCUGGACGUGGUGGUGGGUGCCUGUAAUCGGAGCUACUUGGGAGGCUGAGGCAGGAGAAUUGCUUGAAACCGGGAGGCAGAGCCUGCAGUGAGCCAAGAUUGUAUCACUGCACACCAGCCUGGAUAACAGAGCAAGACUCCACCUCUCAAACAAGUAAAAUAAAUAAAUCAACAUGUAGUAGUCAGUGAGCACCAACCAUGCAAUUGUGCUAGGUACAGAAGAUGGAAAAAAUAUUCUUGAGGUGGGAGAAACAUGUUAACAGAUAAAUUACAGCAGACAGACUUGAUAGAUGGGGGUAAAAGUUAUUAGGAACAGAAGGCCUAAUUUUCCCUAGAAAAGGUAGUAUUUGAGAUGGGUCUCAACAGAAGAGUAAAGAGUAAAUAUUCUUUGCUGGGGGAAGGGGAUGGAGACAAAACAAAAAGAACAACCCGUGCAACAACAGAGGCAGUAAAGAAUUAUUCAGUGUGGCAGUGAUGUGGAAGACAGAGACAAGAGCCAAGACUAGCAAUUUGGUUUGGAAGCAGAUGAGGGUCUUUGUAAAACAAGUGAAGGAGUUUGGAUUUUUCUUUUUGUAGACAACAGGGAGGGAAGAGAUGUUAUUAGGCAGGCAAACAAUGAGAGCAGCUUUCAUUUUUGAGGAUGAUGACUCUGGCAGCAGGGUGGAAGAUAAACAGCAGUAGAGAGAAACUGGAGGCAGAAAAUUAACUCAAGAGGUACUUAUGACUCAAUGAGGACCUUAGGUCAGAAGUGAUUAAACAGCCAAAGUCAGUGACCGGAGCAUGGUUUUGGGGAGAGCCUGGUGACUGAUUGGACAUGGGGGUGAGAGAGACAUGCAUCAGGACAGCCAUCAGUAAUGUUCCUGGCCUAGUAGGUUGUGUACAUGGCAAUCACCUUCCAGAAGGAAUGGAGAUUACUUUCAUUUUUACAAGUACUUGCAGGGUGAGCGACUUGUAGUGUGAUCAAGAUGACAAAAGAUCACUGCUUCAGAAAAAUUGUAAGUGAAAAUAUAGAGUUAGAGUUGUCAGUUUAUAGGUUAGAGGAGAGGGCACAAAAGCACCAGAAUGCACAGGGCACUCUGCAGGAACAGAACUCACGCCCAGGUAUGGGACCACAAAGGUUGCUGCAGAGAACAGGCAUUGGGCACCUGGCAACUGACACCAAUGGGAUGCUUACAGUCUGUCCACUGAUUUAAGAAUUGUAAAACAACUAUUCACAAGUGUUGCACAUGUCUCUAAGGUAAGUGGGAGCCCAGACCACUUUGGGGGCAACUGUCUGCUUACUGCACGCAGCCCUUUCUUUUCUGGAAUUUAGUCUCCUCAUCAUCCUGCCUUCUCCCUUGCCUAUCUCCUGCUUGUGUAAUAAAGUGGAAAGUGGAAGGGCAGAACAAGGCUCAGAUCAGUGGCACUUGUUUGCUAAAAGUAUACUAGACAGUUCUGGUGUGAGGCCUGGGGUCCCAGAUCAUAUAAAUUAUCACUGUCUCCUUUAUUGCAUCCCUGUAUUAUCCCCAUCCCUCUCAGCCAGGGUAGCUGGCUGACAUCCACUCUCUCAAGAGGACAUGCAUGGACAGAAGACCUGGCUCAAGAAACAGCGCUCUAUGAAAAGGGCGGAUAGUUAUGUAACAAUUUUGCAAAAACUUGAGAAAUUAAAAUAAGGGAGACUAUGAAUGCAAAAACAUUAGAGAGCUUGCGCCCAGAAGUUUCAGACCAGACUAGGCAACGUGUUGAGACCCCGUCACUAAAAAAGAAUUUAGUCAGGUGUGAUGGGCCACGCCUGUAGUCCCAGCUACUCGGGAGGGUGAGGUGAGAGGAUCUCUUGAGGCUACAGUGAGUCAUAAUCUUGUGCCACUGCACUGCAGCCUAGGUGACAGAGCAAGAUUAUUUCUCAUAGAAUAUAUCUAUAAAUAUAUAUGUGUAUAUAUAUAUGUAUACAUACGUAUAUACAUACAUAUGUAUAUACGUAUAUAUAUAUAUAUACUUGGCCGCCUGAGUUAGGCCGGAUUAGUACUAUCCUCCAAAAGCUAAUAUAAAUGCACAUCAGUUCUUUCUAGCGCAGCGCUGAAGAGGGUGCCACUACUUGUGCUGGGUGCUGUUUGGCAUGGCCAGUGGCACAGUAAGAGAAGGAGUAGGAGUGGAGGAGUGAAGAAAGAGGAGGAGGAGAAGAGAAGAAAAGGAGGAGGAAAGAGAAGAACUAGAAGAGAAAAUGAGAAGAAGAUAGUAAGAAGAGAGGAAGUGGAGAAAAAAAGGAGAGGGGGACAACAGGACCAGGAGAGGAGAGGAGAAAAGGGAAGCUAGGAGGAAGUAGGGAGAAAAAAGGAGGAGAAGAAGAAAAGAAUGAGGAAAAGAGAAGAGGACGAGAGGAGGAGGAGAGGAUGAGAAAAAGAGGAAAGGAGGAAAGGAAGAGAAGGAGGAGGAGGAGAAGGAGGAGUAGAGGAGAUGGACAAGGAGGAGGAGGGGACAAGGAAGAGGAGAAGACGAAGAGAAAGGAGAGGAGGAGAAUCGGGAGCAGAAGAAGGAGGAGGAGAUGAAGAGGUGAAGGAGAGGAGGAGGAAAGGAGAAGAGAAGGAGGAGGAGAAAAGAAAGGAGUGGAGAAAGAGGAGAGGAGGAGAAAAAAUAGGAAACGAAGAGGAGAAGAAUAGGAGGAGGAAAAGGAUGGGAGAAAAGAAAAAGGAAAAGUAGGAGGAGUAGAAAAAGAGGAGAAGGAGGAAGAAGAAAGAGAAGGAGGAGACGAAAAGAAUGAGAAAAAGAGGAGAGGAGAAUGAGGAGAAGGCGUAGAAGAAAAGAAGGAGGAGAGGAUAAAGAAGGAGAAGUAGAGGAGGAGGAGAGAAGAGGAAAGGAGGAGGAGAGGAGAAGAGAAGGAGGAGGAGAAAGGAGAAGAGAAAAGGAGGAGGAAAAGAAGGAAAAGGAGGAUGGGAGGAAGAGAAGAGGAAAAGGAAAAAGGAAGAGGAGAGAAAAAGGAAAAGGAGGAGAAGAGUAGAGGAGAAGAAAGGAAAAGGAGGAUGAUAGGAAGAAGACGGAGGAGAAGAGGACAGAGAAGUAGAGGAGAAAAAAGGAAAAGAAUGGGGAGAAGGAGGAAAGUAGGAACAAAGAAAAGGAGGGGGAAGAGAGUAGGAGGAAGAGGAAGGGAAGAGGAGGAAAGGAGGGGGAGAGGAGGAGGAGGACGAGGAGAAGAUGGAGAAAAGGAAGAUGAGGAAGAGAAGGAGGGGAGGAGGAGAGAAGAAAGAAGAAAAGGAACAGGAGGAGAGGAGAAAGGAGAGGAGAAGAAGGAGAGAAAGGAAAAGUAAGAGGAAGAGGAGAAUGUGGAUAGGAGAAGGAGGAAGAGAAAAAGGUGGAGAGGAGGAGAGGCGAAGGAAAAGGAGGAAGAACUGAAAAGGAGGAGAGGAAAAGGAGACAAGGGGAGGGGAGGAGGAAGAAAAGAAAAAAACGGGAGGAUGAGGAAAGGAGGAGGAAACAAAAAGGAGAAAGGACGAGGAGAAAAAGAGGAAAAGGAGGAGGAGAGAUGGAAGAGGAGAGGUGGUGGAGGGGAGUAAAAAGGAGAGGAGGAGGAAGGGAAGAAAGAUGAGAGGAAGAAAAGGAGAGGAGGAGGAAGAAAGGGGAGAAGUGGAGGAGGAGGUGGGGGAGAAGUGGAGGAGGAGGUGGGGGAGAAGUGGAGGAGGAGGUGGGGGAGAAGUGGAGGAGGAGGUGGGGGAGAAAUGGAGGAGGAGGUGAGGAAGAAGAGGGGAGAAAGAAAAAGGAGCAGGAGAACAUGAAUGGGGAGGAAGAAGAGAUGAGGAGAGGAGGAGAAAAGUGAGGAGGAGAAGACGAAAAGGAAUGGAGGAGAUGGAAAGGAGGAAAAAGGAGGAGGAGGAGAAAAAAGUUAUCACUUUGUGACAGUAAUUAUGACUCUUUUCAUGGCUUUUGGAUUAAAGUUCAAACUCAACAGGAGAGACACACAGAUAAAAAAUCCAGAUUAUUUCAGAGCUCAAUUUCAGAGCUAAAGGAAAAGAUAUGUGGUAAUACACCUGUGGACGUUGCCAAUGCAAAACAGUUGCAUUGUUUUGGUUUUGGAUCCAGACAUAUGUCACCAUAGGCAAUGUAUGCAGUGCCUAGGAGAAAGUAGAGAGCCACAACAGUUAGGUGCUGGGCCUAGUGAUACAUCACAAUCCCUUUUUGGUCAGAGACCAAACAGUAGAGGAGAGCCAUAUCACCUAGGUUCUAGGUCCAGCAAUACAUCACAAUACUUUCUGAGAGGAAGACCAAAGCAGGAGCGCCACAUCACCUAGGUUUGAGAGCCCCAGAGAUAUGGCACAAUGCCUUCUGUGGGUAGGGCUCAGGAAGAAGAGGAAAGUUACGUAACCUAGGGGCUACAGCCAGCUAUAUGUCACAAUCACCCCCAAGGGGCAGGGACGAUGCAUGAGAGGAGAGUCACAUCAAGUAGGUGGUGAGCAAAGCAAUAUGUAACAAUCAGAGGAGAGUGUCAUCUCCUACAUGCUGGGCCAUAUGUUACAACAUCCCCUAUGGGCAAAGCCCAGGUAAGAGAAGAGAUACACAUCAAAUAGUUGAUGGGCUAAGAGAUACUUCUCAAUGCCCCCUGUAGAAAGAGAUGAGGAGAAAUAAAUCAGAUUGCCUGUGUUCUGGGCCCAGGGAUAAGCCACUAUUUCAUCUAUGGACGUGGCCCAGGCGGGUGAGGAGAGUUACAUCACUUAGAUGCUGGGAACAGAGAUAUGUAACAAUCUCUUCUAUAAGCAAGACCCUGGUAAGAAAAGAAAGAUACAUCAAAUAUUUAUGGACCCACAGAUGCCCCCUUUUUGACAGAGUCAAGGCAAGAAAGUCACAUCACCUUGGUCCUGGGCCCAGCAAUAGGUCACAAUACCUUCUGAAGACAGGGCCAAGGCAAAUGAGUAACAUCUUGGAGCUGGGCCCAGGAUAUAUGUAACAAUCUCCCCUGUGGGCAGAACCUAGGAAGAAGAGAAGUGUCACAUGAGCUAGGUGCUGAGCCCAGGGAUAUGUCACCAUCCCUCCAAGCAAGAGAUGAGAGUACAUUACCUGGGUGAGGAGUGCAGGGAGAUAUCACAAUCCCCUUUUUAGGCUGGGCCCAGGCAGAAGAGUCACAUCGCCUAAGUGUUAGAAUGAGUGAUGUGUCACAAUGUCCCUUCUGUGCAGCACCAAGGUAGGAGAGAAAACUUACGUCACCUGAGUGCAAGUCCCAGCGAUAUGCCACAAUGCCUCCUGUAAGAGGCACCAAGGCUUGAGAAUAGAGUCAUCUCGCCUAGGUUCUGGGUCCAGCAGUAUAUCACCAUUCUACUUGUGAACGAAGCCCAGGCAGGAGAGUCAAAUCAGGUGUUUGGCUGAGGCGUAUGUCACAAUCACACCUUCAAAAAAUCCACAGAUGAGAUUAUCAAUCCCUCACAUGUUCUGGUUCUAGGUAUGAGAGUCAACAUGUCUUGUAUGUUGUGUGAAGUACAUGAGUCACAAUCUCAACUGUGAACUGGAUCUGUGCAGCAGCUUCUCAAUGUUUUCUGGGCAUUGUGUCCCCUUAGAUAAGUCGCAGCCUGACACGUGUGCUAAAUUAUGGUUUGAAGGUCAACAAAUCCAUGCAUAACAAAAAUCCAUGUAUGAGAGUCAACAUUGCAACUUUUGACUGCCUCUAGAUAUAAGAUUCAAAUCCUCAACAGUGGGCCAUGCUCAUGUGAGAGGACAACAAUCUUUACUCUUGACUGUGUCUGCUUACUAGUAUUACAAUCUCACCUUUGAGCUGGGCUCUGUUAGUACACUCUCUGUACCACCCAAAGAAUUUAUGAGAUACAUGGUUUGGCUCUAUGUCCUCACCCAAAUCUCAUCUACAAUUGUAAUCUCCAUGUGUCAAAGCAGGCAGGUCAUUGGAUCAUGGGACAGUUUCCCCCAUACUGUUUUUGUGAUAGUGAGUGAGUUCUCAGAGAUCUGAUGGUUUUAUAAGUGUUGGAAGUUCCUUCUUUAUUCACUUUCUCCCUCCUGCCACCUUGUGAAGAAGGUUCCUGAUUCUCCUUCUGCCAUGAUUAUAAAUUUCCUGAGGUCUCCCCAGCUAUGUGGAACUGUGAGUCAAUUAAAUCCCUUUUCUACCUAAAUUACCUGGUCUUGGGCAGUUCUUUAUAGCAGUGUGAAAAUGAACUAAUACAAUAUGAUAUGCAUGAGAAUUGCAAUCUGCAUUAAGACCUUCAUGCUGAUAUGAGCCCAUGAUUGUACGUGUCAGUCUAAGCUCAGGUAUGAGAGUCAACACCUCCCCAAUUGGCUGUGUCUAAAUAGAAGAGUACUCAUGUGCCUAUGAGCUGGGUUUAGAAAUGGGUCACUAUCCCAUAAGUGUCCAGAUGUUCACAUAUGACUGACACAAUUCCAUCUGUAGACUGUGUCUACGUGUGAGAUUCAGGAUCUCACCAGUGGGUUGUGUCCAUGUGUGAGGAUGACUAUUUUAAGGAUUGGCAGGGUGUGCAUACCAGAAAUACAGUAUUUCUUGUGUCCUUGGACCUGUGAUGACACUCUCUGUACCACUUGUGGGCUUUAUACAACAUGCAAGAGAGUGGUAAACCUCUGUGACCUUUGUACAAAGAGGACACCCAGGAUCUUACCUUUUUCCCUGAGCCUUGCUAUAAGAGACAGUAUCUCUCUCAUUGGCUAGUUCAAGGUAUGAGAGUCAUCAUCACCUGUGAGCUGGGCCAAGAUAUAUGUCACAAUCACUCAUGGAUUGGGAGUAAGCAGGAGAGUAACAUUACCUUGGUUUGGGGCCAGAUAUAUGUCACAAUCUUCUGUGAGGGCUCAGCAAUAUGUCACAAUGAUCUACGUAUUCAAGACUCAGUCAAAAGAGCCUCACCACCUUGUCGCGGGGUCCAGUGAUGUGUCAUAAUCUUUUCUGUUAGGAGGGUGCAGGCAGAAAAGAAGAGUCACAUGUCCUAGGUAGUGUAUGCAGAUAUAUGUCACAAGGCCCACUGGGCAGGGCCCAGGCAGGAGCCUCUUAUUUUCUAGGUGUUGGACCCAGUGUUAUUUCACAAUACACCAAAUAUUUGGGGCCUGGGAGAAAGGACAGUCACAUCACAUAGGUGCUGGGCCAAAAGAUAUGUUAUAAUAACCCUCUUUAGCAGAGCCCAGGCAGAAAAAUAAAUGUGUCACAUCACCCAGGUGAUAAACAAAAAGGUAUGGCAUAAUACCCCUAUGGGCAGGGCUCAUGCAGAAGAGUUGCACCACAUAGUUGUUAAGAUAGGCCAUAUGUCACAAUACACAAUUUAUGCUGAGCUCAGGCAGGAGAAAAGAGUAACAUUACCUAUGUGCUGGGCUCAGCGAUACGUCACAAUACCUCCUUGGUCAGAGCCCAAGAAGUAGAAGAGAGUUACCUCACCUAGGUGCUGAGUCCAUCAAUAUGUCACAGUACUCACUGAGUGAAGGGCCCAAGAAUGAGGAUUGCAUCAUUUAGGUGAGGGGCCCAGAGCUAUGUACCCAUGCUCCCUGUAGGUAGGGCUUAGGAAGAAAGAAGAGAGUCACAUAACCUGUCACAUAACCUAGACAGAUGAGCCCAGCCCUAUGUCAAAAUUACAACAGUGAUCAGAGUCCAGACAUGAGAGGAGAAUCACAUCACAUAAAUGUUGGGUGAAGGAAUAUGUCACCAUCCCUACUGGGGACAGAAGCAGAAAAAUAAGGAGAAUUACACCAUCUAGGUAAUGGGCCCAGAGAUACAUUGCAGUGACCCCUGUGGGCAAUGACCAGGCAGUAGAAUCACAUCACCUGUGUGUUGGGCUUAGGGAUAAUUCACUCUACCUUCUGUGGGCAUAGCGCAGGCAAACAAGGAGAGUCACAACACCUAGGUACUGGAAUCAGAGACGUGAUAAUCUCUUCUAAUGGCAAAGACCAAGUAAGCAAGAAGAGUCACAUCAAAUAGUUCAUGAACUUAGAGAUAUGUCACAAUGCCCCCUGUGGGCAGGGUCCAGGCAAGAGACUCACAUCAUCUUGGUGCUGAGCCCAGCAAUAUGUCAGAAAGCUUUCUGAGGUCAGAACCAAGGCAAAAGUGUAACAUCACCUUACCGUUGGGUCCAGAGACACAUCACAACCUUUCCUGCAGGCAGAACCUAAAAAGAAUAGAAGAGUCACAUCAACUCAAUGCUGGGCCCAGUGAUGAGUCACAAUAUCCCCUGUGAGCAGAGAUCAGGCAGAAGUGAGUCACAUCACCUAGGUAAUGGAUGCAGAGAUGUCACAAUGCCUCCUGUAGGCAGGGACCAGGCAGGAGAGUUAUAUCAUCUGAGUUUUGGACCCAGUAAUAUAUCACAAUGGGCCAUGUGGGCAGGGUACAGACAGGAGAAUCACAUAACUUGGGUGUCACAAUGCCUUCUGUGCACAGUGACAAAACAGAAGGGUAGACUCAUAUUAACUGAAUAUAAGGCCUAGUGACAGUGAUAUGUCACAGUGCUGUCUGUGGGCGGUGCCAAGGCAGUGGACUAGAGUCCCAUCAUGAAGGAACCAGCAAGAACAAUCACAUCUCCUGUGGGCUGCAUCCAGGGACAAGUUACCCUCCCUUCUGUGAUCAGAGCCCAGGAAGAAAAGAAGAGUCACAUUACCUAGGUGGGCCCAGAGAUGUGUCACAAUGUCACCUGUUGGCAAAUACCAAGGCCCAGACAGAAGAGAAGAGUCACAUCAUCUAGAUGAUGAAUGAAAAGAUAUGUCAUUAUUCUCCUUUGGGCAGUGCUUCUGCAGAAAAGUUGCACCUUCUAGGUGUUGGACUCAGCAAUAUAUCACAAUGUCUGCAGUAUUUUGGAAGGAGAGGAGAGUCACCAUUACUUAGGUGCUAGGCCCAGCAAUACAUCUCAAGCACUUCUUGGGCAAAGCCCAAGCAGUAAAAAAGAGUCACAUUACCUAGGUUCUGGGUAUAGCAAUAUGUCACAAAUGCCCCUAAGAAGAGGGCCCAGGAAAAGAGAGUCACCUUGGUGAGAAUGUCAGAGAUAUUCCAUUUUUGGGUAUUCACAAAAAAGAAUAAAGUCCCAUAACCUAGAAGGUGGGCUCUGCUCCAUGACACAAAUCACCCUAGUGGGCAGGUCCAUUAAAGAGAAGGCUGUCAAAGCACAUAGAUGCUGGGCAAAGUGAUAUGUCAUAAUCCCCAUGAUGAUAGGCCCAGAGACAUGUCACAAUGACCUCUUUAGGCAGAGACCAGGCAGAAGAAUCACAUCACUUGUGUGCUGGCCCUAGUGAUAAGUCACUCUCAUUUCUGUGGACAUGGCCCAGGCAGAAGAGCAGAGUCACAUUACCUAAGCGCUGGGUCAAGAGAUAUGUCACAAUCUUUUACAUGGGCAAAACCCAGGUAAAAAAGAGGAGUAAUAUCAGAUAGUAGGUGUUGCCAGAGAUAUGUCAAAAUGCCCCCUGUAUGAAAGACUCAGGCAGUCAAAACACAUUAGUUGGUUUCUUAACCUAGUGAUAUGUUAUAAUCUUUCCUGUGGGUAUGAUGCAGGCAGAAGACGAGAGUCAUGUGAUGGAUGCAGAGACAUGUCACAAGGUCUUCUGUGGGCAGGGUCCAGACUGAAGCCUUCCACCUGCUAGGGGUUGAGCCCAAUGAUAUGUCACAAUACCCAAAUUAUGCAGGGCCCAGGCAAAAAAAACGAGAGGCACAUCACCUGGGUUCUGGAUCCAAUGAUAUAUCACAAUUUUCUAUUUUGGCAAGACCCAGGCAGAAAGAAAAGUUACAUCACCUAGGUGAUGAAUGAAAAUACAUAUUAUAAUAGUUUUGUGGGCAGGACCCAUGCGGGAGAGUCACAUCACCUAGGUGUUGGACCCAGAAAUAUGUCACAAUAUACAGUGUAUACAGAGCUGAGGCAUGAGACAAUAGUAACUUCACUCAUUUGUUGAGCCCAGCUAUACAAUCCUUUUUUGGGCACAGCCGAAGUAGUAGAGGAGAGUUACAUCACCUUGGUGCUGGGUCCAGCAAUGUGUCACCAUACCUGCUGAGGGGAGGGUACAGGCAAGAGAGCCACAUCACUUAGGUGAGGGGCCCAGAGAUAUCUCACAGUACCCCCUGUGGGUAGAACUCAGGAAAAAGGAGAGAGUCACAUAAUCUAGAAGCUGAGCUCAGCUGUAUGUUACAAUCACCCAGUGGACAGGUCCCAGGCAUGAGAGUAGAGUCACAUCACAUAGGUGCUGGACCAAGCAAUUUGUCACAACCUUCACUGUGGACAGGUCCCCAGAAAAAGAGAAUCACAUCAUUUAGGUAACAAAACCUGAGUUAGUCACUGUUACUUGUUUGGGCAGAGGUCAGGAAGAAGUGUCACACAACAUGUAUGCUGGACUAAGCAAUACGUCACUCUCUCUGUUUUAGGUAUGGCCCAGGCAGGAGAGAAGGGUCAUAUCACCUAAGCUCUGGAUUCGCAGAUAGGCCCCAAUCUCUUUUUUGGGCAAUGCUCGGGUAAGAGAGCAGAGUCACAUCAAGUGGUUGAUGGGCCCAGAGAUAUAUCACAUUGCCCCUUGUGGACAGGGACCAGGCAGGGGACUCACAUCACAAUAGAGGUAGGACAAGGAAUACAUCACAAUACGUUUUGAGAGCAGAACCAAAAAAGAGUAACAUAAUCUUUGUGUUGAGUGCAGCAAUAUGUUACACUUUUCUUUGUGGGCAGAACGUGUAAAGAAGGAAAAAGUUGGCCGGACACGGUGGCCUGUAAUCCCAACACUUUGGGAGGUCAAGGUGGGCAGAUCACCUGAGGUCAGGAGUUCAAGACCAGCCUGGCCAACAUGGCAAAACGCUGUCUCUACUAAAAAUACAAAAAUUGGCUGGGUGUGGUGGCAGGCACCUGUAAUUCUAGCUACUCAGGAGGCUGAGGCAGGAGAGUCACCUGAACCUUUGAGGCAGAGGCUGCAGUAAGCAAAGAUCACGCCACUGCACUCCAGUGUGGGUGACACAGCAAGACUCCAUCUCAAAAGAAAAAAAAAUAAAGAAAGGAAAAGUCACAUAAGCUAGGCACUUGGCCCGUGAUAUGUCAUAGUCACCCAUUUGAGAAGGGAACAGCGAAGAGAAGAGAGUCACAUCACCUCUCUGGUGGACACAGAGAUAUCUCACAAUGCUCUCUGUAGGCAGGGCCAGGGCACAAGAGUUAUAUAACUCGGGUGUUAGACCAAGCAACAUGUCACAAUGGCUGAUAUGGGCCAGACACAGACAAGGGAGUCACAUAUUUGGGUGUAGGGCUCAGUUAUAUGUUGAAAUGCCCCCUGUGGGCAGCGACAAAGCAGAAGAUUCACAUCACCUGGAUAUAAGGCCCGGUGAUACGUUACAAUUCCCCUGUGAGCAGCGCUAAAGCAGAAGAAUAGGGUAAUAUCACCUAGGGGCUGAGUCCAGUGAUAUGUCACAAUUCCAUCUGGGCUGGGCCCAGGCAGAUGUGUCAAAUCAUGAAGGUUCUGUGAAGGUGCAUAUAUCACAAUCACACCUGCAGGAAGGUCCAAUAAUGAGAUUAACAAUCUCACACAGGUCCGGGUUCUAGGUAUGAGAGUCAACACCUGUGUGUUGGAUCCAAAUAGAUGAGUCGUAGUCUCAACAAUUGACUUGAUCCAUGUGUGAGAUCCUAGUUUCUAUUUGCAUUACUAUUGGUACCAGUACCUAUUAAUUCUUCCACCUUCUACAUCUUUGUUCUGUAUGAAUGUAUAUACAAAGAUUGAUACAUAUACAAGAUUAUAUGAGUAUUUCUAUGUAAAUAUGUACACAAAAAUUGUUCCUCCAAAGACAUUUUUCAGUAUCUUAGCAUAUUCUAAGGGUGCAGAUGUAGAAUUAUUUCUCUUCUCUGGCUCAGUAGCAUGUCAGAAUGGAACAUAGGUAUAGAAUGUUUUUUGUAUAGACAAAGCUUCACUUUCAGGGGCAAGGUUUGGGAAAUAAGCUGAUAGUAAAGUCAUGUAACACUUUCUGUGCAGGUUAACAUUUCUGGACCUUGCUUUCCUUCUCAGUGUAUGCAUGAGCUAUUCUCAUGCACCACUGGGGGCCAGUCUUGAUUAAUCUACAGUUGAAAUUUAGAGAACUGGCUGAUUGAAUCCACCUGGGCUGAGCUAACUGACAUUGAAAUCAGCUGGGCUGAGCUUAUUGGCCAGUUAAAAUCAUCUGGGCUCAAAUAUCGGCUGACUGGAGUCACCUGGGCUAAACUAAUUGGCUGAUUUUAAUCUCCUGGGAUUGGUUAAUUGACUGUAAUGACCUGAUUUGAGUUAAUUGACUGAUUGAAAUCAAAAGUGCUGACCUAAUUGGCUGAUUGAAAUCACCUAGAAUGAGGUAACUGACUGAUUGGAUUUACCUGAUCUGAGCUAAUUGGCUGAUCAGAAUUACCUAGACCAAAUUAAUUGGCUAAUUGGAAUACACUGGGCUGAGCUAAUUGGCUGAUUGAAAUAAUCAGGGCUGAGUAAGUGGGUUGCUUGUAUUCACCUCCCCUGAGAAGAAUAAGUAGGGAAAUGAUCUCUGACUUACCUUUUUUUUUAUAAGACAUACUCAUAAAUGGACAUUACAUAGAUAUAUUUAUAUAUUGUAUGUGUUUGUAUGUGUUUAUCUACAUAUAUUAUAUCUGUUAACCUUCAAGUUAAAGUGUGCAAAGGAAUCUGAAAUUUGCUUUCAAUAUUGCAGUCUAUCUUCAAUUUACAGACCUUGGCUUUUCUACCCCAAUUCAAGAAGUCACUUCUUCAGUCAACCAAACCAAUUACAAAAUUGUGUUCCAAUGUCACAUGUUCAAAAAUAAACAGUUCCUGAAAAGA
RNA transcript from Homo sapiens (human), 29925 nucleotides. It is a transcript of the gene named zinc finger protein 91, with no coding region annotated. The record is from RefSeq and is marked validated. The transcript is spliced from 7 exons. NCBI's taxonomy places the organism in Eukaryota, Metazoa, Chordata, Mammalia, Primates, Hominidae.